Molecule: non-coding RNA, 90 nt
Organism: Mycena leptocephala
Lineage: Eukaryota; Fungi; Basidiomycota; Agaricomycetes; Agaricales; Mycenaceae
Source: the annotation of a GenBank genome assembly
GCGGACGUGGUGCACGGUGCACUCCUUCAUUUCAUUCAAUCUUCCCAAAAAAGUGUUGAAGGCUUCGGGGUUCGACUCCCCGCGUCCGCA